AAAAAAUCAUCUGUUUUAAAGUGUUAAUGCAUUGUGAAAACCAAUAUUUCAUCAAUGAAAUUCAAGUCAGAUAAUUCUCAUGAAUCUCCUUUUCAUAUUAAAUACAAUUUUUUUUAAGUCUGAUGCAGACAUUUUGUAGUCAAAGCAUUUCAACUGAGGUACUACACAAGCGUCAAAAGGCGUCAUUAUGGAGUAAAAAGGGUG
This 204-nucleotide long non-coding RNA is filed under the name Mytilus galloprovincialis (Mediterranean mussel). The record is from RNAcentral. Lineage: Eukaryota; Metazoa; Mollusca; Bivalvia; Mytilida; Mytilidae.